UAGCCUACGGGAGGCAGCAGUGGGGAAUAUUGCACAAUGGGGGAAACCCUGAUGCAGCGACGCCGCGUGAAGGAAGAAGUAUUUCGGUAUGUAAACUUCUAUCAGCAGGGAAGAAAAUGACGGUACCUGACUAAGAAGCCCCGGCUAACUACGUGCCAGCAGCCGCGGUAAUACGUAGGGGGCAAGCGUUAUCCGGAAUUACUGGGUGUAAAGGGAGCGUAGACGGUGAUGCAAGUCUGGAGUGAAAGGCGGGGGCCCAACCCCCGGACUGCUCUGGAAACUGUAUGACUUGAGUGCAGGAGAGG
RNAcentral lists this ribosomal RNA (305 nucleotides) under uncultured bacterium. RNAcentral's name for it is "bacterial SSU rRNA". It matches the Rfam family "Bacterial small subunit ribosomal RNA", at positions 335 to 657 of the family's 1533-position model. The record is from RNAcentral.